CCUGGCUUCAUUGAGCUGGUCCUCCAGCUCUGAGAAGCUGAAGCUGGAGACCGUGAUGAAGUCGCUCAUGACCGGGACAAACCUGUCCUUUGGAUCCCAUGCCUGGCGUUUCUGAUAUUCCAGCUCCUGAGGAGGGAGAGCCAAGUGCUGGUCAGACCAGUGCCAGGACGAGAGUCAGGAAUGCUGGGACUCACCACGUCCUCCACCCUCCUUGCCAAUCGCAGGACACUGAGCCUUCCUUUGGAAGAGGGUACACCCUGGGUCUCAAAUUCUAAGGGUGGCAAAGAUUGUGAGAUCCUUCUAGACCAGAAAUGUCAUGCUGCAUAUUGGAAGGUUUCCAACACAUGGCCUCUGGCUUGGAUUUAUUUUUAUUACCAUCAGAUGCUUCUAUCAGCCUAUAUACGUUCAGGUCUGACUUCUCGCCUGUAGCAGAUGCCCCUGGAGCCCGCCACCCCACCCCCGCCAUCUCCUUGGACCAUCCGUUGUAGUGGACAGCCCUGACUUCCAACCACUGAGCACUUUUUCUGCGGGCCAGAGCGUUACUGCCCACCCCCAGCCAGUGAGUGACAGGAGAUGGUAGAUGAUGCCUAUCUUACCCCUUGUGGGGAUAAUGGAGCGAGUGUCCUACACUGUCUCCCACACUCUGCAGAGGCAGGAUUAAGCUCUGCUCGCCUGCAGUGGUAAGUGGCUUCACAACAACCCCAUUGCCGGCAUUCUCCCCAUCCCUGUCACAGCUCCCCACUCCCCGCUUUGUUUCCUGAGAGAAUCUCUGAAAUGAGGAUUUGAGAGCAAAGAGUGUCUUUCGUUGGGUUCUCCCAGAGCAGACCCCGAGAUGCUGUUCAUUCUGAGCCAGCUCAGAGCAGCCCCGAAGGAGGAAGUUUAGAUGAGAGAGGGCGGGAUCACAGGGAGAAGGCAGCCUCAAGAGGACCCCUUACUUGACUUUGGCGGCUUCUGGAAGGUGCUGCAGCUCAGAGGGCAUGUUCAGGAUGUCAGGGAAAUGCUUCUCCAGGAUCAUGAUCAGAUAAUGGAGCAAAGAGAUGUUUCUGUGGGUGAAAGUCGGGUCAGGGGUACGGGGCCAAGGGAAUUGGGAAUGAGGGUCCGGCGGAAACUAGGGUGAGG
Molecule: long non-coding RNA, 1119 nt
Organism: Globicephala melas (long-finned pilot whale)
Lineage: Eukaryota; Metazoa; Chordata; Mammalia; Artiodactyla; Delphinidae
Source: RefSeq, a predicted model, not a curated record